GCUGAGAUCGUGCCACUGUACUCCAGACUGGGUGACAGAGGGAGACUCAGUCUCCAAAAAAAAAAAAAUUGAGAGUUUAAUCUUUCUAUAAGUAUAGUAUUUCCCUUCAUAUAAUAGGAUUUUUAAAUUAUUUACCUUUUUGUUAGGACUUUUAUGGAAUCUUAUAUUUAUGUGAAGAUGUAGGUUUAGAAGGAAGAUAAUUGGGUUUGGUGUAAACUUUGGUUUUGUAAAUGUUAGUAUUUAAUACUUUAAAAAUAUUCCUACUUUUUUUUUUAGUAUGACUAAUAUUUAUUAUGGCCAGUAUCACCUAUGUAUUUUUUGUUAAAGAAGUUGUCUUAUAUACAUAGAAAUGGUAUAAUAAGCUACUUUAAACAACCCUGGAUAUGUUUCUUUUCCCUUCCUGUCACUGUCCUCUUUCUUCCCUUUUCCCUUUUGAUUAAGAAGUUCCAUCAGAAAAGUCAUAAAAUCUAACUCCUGUUUAUUCUCGAGCUAUCAGCUAAAAUGUCACUUUCUCAGGAAAUCCUGCCUGACCCCCCUUUCCCCUUUGUUCUGGCACCCAUUCCCCUGGCCUUUAAAUGCUUUCAUAGCAGUGUGUACCUAUCUAUCAUUUUUUACAGUUUGUAAUUACGGCUUUUUUUUUUUUUUUUUUUUUGAGAUGGAGUCUCGCUUUGUCGCCCAGGCUGGAGUGCGUGGUGCGAUCUUGGCUUACUACAACCUCUGCCUCCCAGGUUCAAGCAAUUUUCCUGCCUCAGCCCCCCCAAGUAGCUGGGACUACAGGUGCGCACCACCACGCCUGGCUAAUUUUUGUAUUUUUAGUAGAGGCGGAGUUUCAUCAUGUUGGCCAGGCUGGUCUCAAACUCCUGACCUCAGGUGACCCACCUGCCUUGGCCUCCCAAAGUGCUGGGAUUACAGGCGUGAGCCACCGUGCCCGGCUUCCUGUAAUUAUGUAUUAAAAUGUAUAAUUACUUGAUUAAUAGCUAUCUUCCCAACUAGACCAAAAACUCCAUAGAAUGUAUGGAAUUUUCCUCCAUCAUCCUUGUAGUCCAAGCAUAAUAUUUAUUAAAUGAGUAAAUGAGUGAAUUAACUAGCCAUUUUGAUUAAUUUUCUCUUUUUAGUGCAGUUUUGGUUUAGGACUGUAAGGAGUCAUACUGGCCAUAUUCAGAAUGUCACAUUAGUGUUUUAAGUCCAUUCUGUAUUUUUUUCAAUGAGUUUCAGCAAAAUCUGAGAGUGUCUUAAGUGAAAUUGGUUAUAUCUAGGGUGGAGGUAUUAUAUUUGGAAAGACUUGUAACAGUAGAAAGCUUUUUAUUUAAAUCUUUGAGUUUUAAAAUAUUUUUAUUAUGAAGUUAUUUAUGAUUUUAUAGGUAAUAUUUUUAAUGAGACCUUGAAAAAUUUAUAGAGUGCAGUUUAUUACAGAAUCUGAGUUGCCUAAUAGUUUUUAAUAGUUUUUGAGUAUCAGUAUUUUGAUUAAUUUUAAGUUAGGGAUCAUUUCCUCUAAUUCUUUGAACAUAAUUAUUUGUUGGUUGAUUUUUUUUUUUAAUGUAACAGUGUUUUUGAGAUGUAAUUUAUGUACCAUACGGUUCUUCUACUUUAGGGUAUUAGAUUCAUGGAUUUUUUGUACAUUCACAGAUGUGACCGUCAUUGCAGUCAAUUUUAGAACAUUUUCAUAAUCUCAAAAGGAAAACUGUAGCCUUUGGCUAUUAUCCACUUAUUCUUCCAUCCCUGAGCAACCACUAAACUACUUUUGCAUUGAUGACUGGGAAGUGAGAGACAUAGAUUUUUGAAAAGCUGAAAAUAACUUCUAGUUUAACAAAAUAGUUUCUUCCAGAGCUUAGAAUUUCAGAUGAUUGGAAAAUUCAUACAUCUAGGUCUGAAAGUUUAAGUCUUUCGCAUCUAUGGAGAUCUCUAUUUUCUACAACCUAAAAUGCUAUGAUGGGUGACAGGUUAAAGACAAACCUUUUUAAAAAAUGUAUAUUUUUAUUGCUAUAUAGUGGUAUUAUGGCUUUUGAAAUUCCUAUUUUUACCAUAAACAGAUUAUUAGGUGCUUACUGAUUCCAGAUAAUAGCCUAAUCUAUUAGAAGGUAGAAGAGAGAAUCUCUGGUGAUACACUGUCCAUACAUGGUUCAAUAGGAGGUAGCAAAGGCUAAGUAUGAGUAAGUGACAAAAGCAGUAAAUGCUGCAGAACUGAAAUUCAGAGAAUUGCGCUUCCACUGUUGGGUAAGGCUUAAGGGGAGACUUUGAAAGAGGAAGAUGAGCUAUGCCUUCCUUUGGGUACUGAUUUAAUUUCUUUUGCCAUUUUUUUGCAUUUCUUGAAUGUAGGAAUUUAUCCUUACCCAUGUGCAUAUUCAUCAGCUCCAAUUUAGGAGAUUGACUAGUGUAGCACGUCAUAACCAGAAAGAUACUUGGAGGUAGACUUUUCCCUAAAGUUUAUACAAGACACUUAAUGGGCUGGGUCCUUGAUCAUGUACUUCUUUCUUAGACUUUGUGUAUAUGAAGUGGUGUUCUUAUCCUUAUUUCUUUCCACAUUCACCCUUUUUAAUGCUUUUAGUAAGUCUUUUCAGUUUUUGUUAAGAUUUAUUUUAUAGUUACACUAUUGUAUUUAUUGAAGGUAGCUUGGCUGAUACUGUUCCAAAGUCACUUGCCACUUUCCUCUCUGCAUAAUUAACAUUUAUUCUCCUCAUUAUUUGUCAAUGAAUUCCCUUCUGUUUAUUUAUAGUUUCUUUAUGAUUCUGCAUAUCAGAAGAUAACAAGCACUUAUCACAAAUGCAUUUAGGGGAUGUACUACUCUGUAAAAAAUUUAAAUAUAUUGAAAAUAGAACUCUUUGAAUUUUAUUUUACUCUUUUGAGGAAAUGAAGAUAUCUUGAUUUUUUUUAUGGUAUUCUAACCUGCUUUUCCGGGGCAUACAGGGCAGCACUUAUUUUUAUAUAAAUCUGAGAAUGUGUGAAUUGCAAAUUAAUCUUCUGGCAGAUAUCUAAUGCUGUUGAUAGAGAUGUGUUGCCCUAAGAUUUAUUGGAUUUAAUGAGACAGUCUUUUGAUAUAUCCUUGAAUUAUGAUGGGAUAUUGGGUUGCCACAUGUAAGUUUUAGAAUAUUUUUUAAUGAUAUAGAGAAAAUGCUUCAGAUACAAUGGCAUGUAAAAGAGAAAACAGCAAAAAAACCCUGAUUUUAAAACGGUUUGAUUCAAUUUAUAUUUUAAAAACACAGACACAUGAUUUGUAUGCCUGUGUAUAUAGAAAAGAUUGCAAGGAUAUUUACCAAAAUAUUAAGUGAUUAUCUCUGGGUUGUAGUAAUUGGGGUGAUUUUUAUUUUUUAAGUGCCUUUUCUUUGGGUAUUGCCUGAAAUGUUAAAUAUUAUCUCAUUUUAGCAAAUAAUAAAUACUACUUUUAACUAAGAAAAAA
Molecule: long non-coding RNA, 3394 nt
Organism: Homo sapiens (human)
Lineage: Eukaryota; Metazoa; Chordata; Mammalia; Primates; Hominidae
Exons: 2
Source: RefSeq, a predicted model, not a curated record